This 68-nucleotide transfer RNA is filed under the name marine eukaryotic metagenome. It matches the Rfam family "tRNA". Rfam says of the family: Transfer RNA (tRNA) molecules are approximately 80 nucleotides in length. Their secondary structure includes four short double-helical elements and three loops (D, anti-codon, and T loops). Further hydrogen bonds mediate the characteristic L-shaped molecular structure. tRNAs have two regions of fundamental functional importance: the anti-codon, which is responsible for specific mRNA codon recognition, and the 3' end, to which the tRNAs corresponding amino acid is attached (by aminoacyl-tRNA synthetases). tRNAs cope with the degeneracy of the genetic code in two manners: having more than one tRNA (with a specific anti-codon) for a particular amino acid; and 'wobble' base-pairing, i.e. permitting non-standard base-pairing at the 3rd anti-codon position. The record is from RNAcentral.
CGCGGUAGCUCAGAUGGUUAGAGCGUCGGAUUCAUAACCCGGAGGUCGGGAGUUCAAUUCUCCCCCGC